GUAAAGGUAGCUCAGUGGUAGAGUGCUUGCCUUACAUGCAUGAGGUCCUGGGUUUGCUACCUUAGCA
This 67-nucleotide transfer RNA is filed under the name Dipodomys ordii (Ord's kangaroo rat). It matches the Rfam family "tRNA". Rfam says of the family: Transfer RNA (tRNA) molecules are approximately 80 nucleotides in length. The record is from Rfam by way of RNAcentral. Lineage: Eukaryota; Metazoa; Chordata; Mammalia; Rodentia; Heteromyidae.